This 607-nucleotide ribosomal RNA is filed under the name uncultured bacterium. Its description in RNAcentral is "bacterial SSU rRNA". It matches the Rfam family "Bacterial small subunit ribosomal RNA", at positions 35 to 650 of the family's 1533-position model. The record is from RNAcentral.
GCUGGCGGUGCGCCUUAUGCAUGCAAGUCGAGCGAAGCUUUUCAGUAGUUUACUACAGAAAAUGACUGAGCGGCGAACGGGUGAGUAACGCGUGAGCAAUCUACCUUAGUUACAGGGAUAGCCCGAGGAAACUCGGAUUAAUACCUGAUAUUCUUUAUUUCUCGCAUGAGAAUAAAAGGAAAGGUCAGCCGAACUAAGAUGAGCUCGCGUUCUAUCAGCUAGUUGGUGAGGUAAAAGCUUACCAAGGCUACGACGGAUAGCUGGUCUGAGAGGACGAUCAGCCACACUGGGACUGAGACACGGCCCAGACUCCUACGGGAGGCUGCAGCAGGGAAUAUUGUGCAAUGAACGAAAGUUUGACACAGCGACACCGCGUGUGGGAUGACGGAUCUAGGUUUGUAAACCACUUUCAGGAGGGAAGAAAAUGACGGUACCUCCACAAGAAGCCCCGGCCAACUACGUGCCAGCAGCCGCGGUAAUACGUAGGGGGCGAGCGUUGUCCGGAUUUAUUGGGCGUAAAGAGCUCGUAGGCGGUUCAACAAGUCGGUCGUGAAAGUUCAGGGCUCAACCCUGAAAUGUCGAUCGAUACUGUUGUGACUAGGAUACG